RNAcentral lists this ribosomal RNA (252 nucleotides) under uncultured bacterium. RNAcentral describes it as "partial 16S ribosomal RNA". It matches the Rfam family "Bacterial small subunit ribosomal RNA", at positions 524 to 776 of the family's 1533-position model. The record is from RNAcentral.
UACGGAGGAUGCGAGCGUUGUCCGGAUUUAUUGGGUUUAAAGGGUGCGUAGGCGGGCUUUUAAGUCAGCGGUAAAAAUUCGGGGCUCAACCCCGUCCGGCCGUUGAAACUGGGGGCCUUGAGUGGGCGAGAAGAAGGCGGAAUGCGUGGUGUAGCGGUGAAAUGCAUAGAUAUCACGCAGAACCCCGAUUGCGAAGGCAGCCUUCCGGCGCCCUACUGACGCUGAGGCACGAAAGUGCGGGGAUCGAACAGG